AUGUGUAGUAUCAAACACACUUAUGUUGACAGAGAUUGGGAAGGAGUGGCCAGAGGACUGGGAAAGGAAGACCCCCAGUGGGGAAGCUUUGUGUGCCAAGAGCGGGAGAGAAUGGGGGCAGGAGCAGAGGGAGAACAGUGUGCCCUUGACCCAGGAAGGUCACGAAGGAGCCAACAGAGGAAUUGGGUCCCGGCAUUUCCACCUCAAACUUGGGCUCCUCCCUCCAAGGGGGGAGGCCCAUUUGAUUCCGUGUGUGCAGCCAGCCCUGGCUGUGCAGAGCUGCAGGUGGGAGCUGACCGGAUGAAGGGAAGACAAGAAAGGGCCUCACUUAACAGCGUGGAAGAAGGAGGGGUGCCCAUUCGGGAUAGAAGAUGGAAAAGCUCAACGAUUCUCAUAAACCCCAUCACAGGCCAUUGAAAGCAUGAACGAUUUCUUCAGUCCUCUGAUUAGCCAGGUAUUCAGAAUAUGUUUCACUCACCUGGAGAGUUGCAUCGUCUUGACAAACACAAGGCAAUUAAGAGACUUCCAGCUGCUCCUGCUGCUACUGUGUAUUCAGGGGGAGGGAGAAAUGAUGGCUGGCCUCUCCAAAGUGCCUUUGCUGCAUUCGUCUGGUUUUCAUGACUCUAAUGUCCCAACUGACUGUGUCUAAGAAGCAAAAGACGUGACUUAGAAAGCUUUCCGUAUUCCUACACCAAGAAAGGUUACAGAAUUUGCCAAGUUCUGAGCUUGACACGGCCUUCUUUUCCUGACAAUCAGGUUGGCAUUUUAGAAGGAAGAUGAAAUGGCUUCAGGAAAUGAUGUGAAAGGUUAAGAAGAUGGAUGAGAAAUAUAAGUCAAGAGCUGUCACGAAGGAAAAUGCGGCCUCACAGUGCUGUGUUCAAUGUAUUUCUUAGAAAAACUAGGUAUCUAUAUUUCUGCUAAAUCUGUAUCCUUGAACCCUGUAAUCUAGAGUAGCUAUGCCAUGGUGUAAAGGAUCGUAAGAGAAAAAUGUGGAACUCCAAGUCACAUAAACGUAGAGGGAGGCAGUGUAACCAAAUAA
RNAcentral lists this long non-coding RNA (1039 nucleotides) under Sus scrofa (pig). RNAcentral's name for it is "lncRNA (ENSSSCG00055013065.1)". The record is from RNAcentral. Lineage: Eukaryota; Metazoa; Chordata; Mammalia; Artiodactyla; Suidae.